GACGAACGCUGGCGGCGUGCUUAACACAUGCAAGUCGAACGGAAAGGCCCUGCUUUUGUGGGGUGCUCGAGUGGCGAACGGGUAAUUAACACUGGAUUAACCUGCCCUUGACUUUGGGAUACCUUCAGAAAACUGGGGCUAAUCCCGGAUAGAGGCUCCUUCUCAAGGGGGGGGUUGGAAAAGUUUCGGCGGUUGGGGAUGGACUCGCGGCUUAUCAGCUUGUUGGUGGGGUGGGGGCUUACCAAGGCUUUGACGGGUAGCCGGCCUGAGAGGGUGACCGGCCACAUUGGGACUGAGAUACGGCCCAGACUCCUACGGGAGGCAGCAGUGGGGAAUAUUGCACAAUGGGCGGAAGCCUGAUGCAGCAACGCCGCGUGCGGGAUGACGGCCUUCGGGUUGUAAACCGCUUUCGCCUGUGACGAAGCGUGAGUGACGGUAAUGGGUAAAGAAGCACCGGCUAACUACGUG
RNAcentral lists this ribosomal RNA (468 nucleotides) under uncultured bacterium. RNAcentral's name for it is "partial 16S ribosomal RNA". It matches the Rfam family "Bacterial small subunit ribosomal RNA", at positions 28 to 507 of the family's 1533-position model. The record is from RNAcentral.